GAUCCUGGCUCAGGAUGAACGCUAGCUACAGGCUUAACACAUGCAAGUCGAGGGGCAGCAUUUUUAUAGCAAUAUAAAAGAUGGCGACCGGCGCACGGGUGAGUAACACGUAUCCAACCUGCCGAUAACUCGGGGAUAACCCUUCGAAAGAAGGCCUAAUACCCGAUGGCAUAUCCCUUCCGCCUGGUUGGGAUAUUAAAGAACUUCGGUUAUCGAUGGGGAUGCGUUCCAUCAGCUUGUUGGCGGGGUAACGG
Molecule: ribosomal RNA, 254 nt
Filed under: uncultured bacterium
Lineage: Bacteria
Description: partial 16S ribosomal RNA
Rfam family: Bacterial small subunit ribosomal RNA
Source: RNAcentral